UUAUCUGCCGGUUUGAUAAUAAUGUUCUUGUUUUCUUUCAGUUCUUUGAGGGCUUGCACCUCCUGCAAGGUCCCACUGUGCCUGCAUCACCUGGCGCCUCGCACCGCCGUUUAGCACCGGGAUGAAGGUUAGGCCCCUGUCGAGUAAGGAGGACUGGGCAACUCAUCAUCCCCGCGCAAAUCCACCAGGAUCAGGUCCUGUUCCUGUGCUACACAGGAAGCAGCCUGCUCCCCCUGAGGUGAACCGCACGGGGGGGACCAACCAGGCCUCGGAACAGUCAUGGUGGAGGCCGUUCUAGUUUCAUUGACCCUGACUGGACUAACUGGGGAGGUUUGGGACUGUGCCUCUGCCGACCUAUGGACUACAGCUUGGAUUUCCCUCAGGGCCCUGGCCGUGGGGGUUGGCAGCGCAGGCCUGAUGAUUUCCGCCAGGAGAUGCUGUAAUUUAGUAAUGGAUGGAGGGUGCUGAACCCUGAGGGCUGGUGCCAUGCACCACCCCUGGGGCCUGUUCUAGGCGCAUUUGGAAAGGAAGUCGGUUUUGCGGGCCCCCAUUGGGCCCGCGGUUCAAAAAAUUGUGGUCUGGUAGACCAUUGAUGAGAACUAUUACGGAAAAUCCUGAUACUGGCCUGGACGGGGAGCAGGCCGGCCCCCGCCCUGCAUGGCGGGCCCGCGUCUGCGCGCGACCACCGUCCAGCCAUCCCACUGCGGGGUUGCCAUUAUCAGGCUGAAGAUGGAGAGGAUAUCAAUAAGGUAACGGUAAAGGUUAUGGAGGAGGUCAGGGGAGAGGAGACGAACCGGCAAGGGACACGCAAGGCAUGAGGCACGGGCUGGUUAGGGGAAAUUGAAAGUCCGCAGGGUGGACCAGUGGGGAUUCGACUGGAGGACUGCGACCCUGCAGGCCUCCCAUCCAUGAUCCCGGAAGUGACGAACCAGUGUUGGCAGGACAUCAGGUAGACACAGUUCCUGGUGUAAACUGUGCCCGUACUGGAGGCUGCAAUUAUGUGGUGGUCUGGGAGUAAUUGCGCCGGUCCCAGGACAUUUUGAAAGCUGGAUUUGACAGCCCUGGUCAGUUUCACGGCAGCCGAGGAGUCUAAGGGCCCUAAAAAGGACAUCCGUUGCCACCUUGAAGUCCUGCUCCCGUGUGCAUAUGCGGUGGAACCUCAGAAGUUGCGACUUCACCAGGCCGGAAAAUGUGUGUCUAGGAUGGAAGCUGUUUCGGUGAAGGAGGGCAUGGGUGUCCGUUUCUUUAAAGAAGACUCUGAUGUCCAACCGGUGGGAAGAGCUGAAGUCGGGGCCCUUAAAAGUUGUGGUGUCUAAAAAAUCUAUGGACUGCAGACUGACCGUGGACUUCACUUUGAUGGAUGGAUUGAAAUUGUUUAAGGUGGCCACAAAUCCAUUAAAAUCAUCCCGGGAGUGUGUCCACACUCCCCAGAUGUCAUCCAAGUACCUAUAAUAGUGGAGAGGUUGUUUGUGACAGCAGGAAAGGGCUGCAUUCUCCCACUCUGCCAUAAAUAUAUUGGCAUAAGCGGGGGCAAAUUUCUUGCCCAUUGCUGUGCCUUUGAUUUGGAGAAAAAACUCACCAUUAAAUUCAAAGUCGUUCUUCAUUAAAUUGAUUUCUAACAAUUGCAGUAGUUCCUUGUCUGGUCUUUUCUUAUCAGGGUGUUUGGAAAAAAUGUUCCUAAUAGCCUGUAGGCCUUCUUGGAUGUCAAUAUUUGUGUAGAGGCUAUCUACGUCCAUGGUGAACAAGAUAGCCUGCUGGGGGAUGUCCAAUUGUUUAAUUUUAUUUACAAAGUCAUAUGUGUCUUUGAUGUAGCUAGGGUGGAUAACUGAAAGGGGAUUUAAAUAAUGGUCUAAAAAUUCUGCUGUGUAAUAUG
Non-coding RNA from Paramormyrops kingsleyae, 1873 nucleotides. The record is from RefSeq and is a predicted model, not a curated record. Lineage: Eukaryota; Metazoa; Chordata; Actinopteri; Osteoglossiformes; Mormyridae.